This is a long non-coding RNA of Trichoplusia ni (cabbage looper), 723 nucleotides long. RefSeq lists it as uncharacterized. The record is from RefSeq and is a predicted model, not a curated record. The transcript has 3 exons. Lineage: Eukaryota; Metazoa; Arthropoda; Insecta; Lepidoptera; Noctuidae.
AACCUAUUAUUUAUUUACCAGUUCCAGGCGUGAGACAAAAGACGAACAAAUACAGCUAUCACUCCAUUUCGUAUUUGUAUAGAUUAAUUGGGGCAAUGGACUGAUAACGGGAUUCGUGUUCGUCACCUUAACGUGUUUGAAUUGCGUUUGAUUUAGUACAUACCCAGUGUAAUUGUAACUAGAAAAAGAGAGUCGUAUCGUGAGACUUUGGUAGAAGCAAUCAAAAAAGAUUUUCAUUUUGUAUUUCAACCUUGAAUUGUAAUUUGCUUUUGCGUUUCAAGAUGCUUCACCUUUAGACUAGAAAAAAGACUAAAAAGUUUACAUAGAAUAAACACCAUAUCAGCUUUCGAGACAAUUUUUAAGGUCGGAGUAAGAUUUCAUAAUGAAAAGCACAGAAAGAAACUUUAUGUGCACGCUAAAGACAGAAGUGUACUUCCCGAUCCGAUUCCAUUGGAGGUAUUACCUAAAGGGUAUGGCGGAUAUGUGGGUACCGCGAAGGAAUUAACAGAUUAUUGGCUAGAAAAGUUUGAUGAUUAUGAAGAACGGUUUCAAGAUCUAUUUGAAAUUAUAUAGAAUGAAUGAAACAAAACGACCAGGCAAAGCCAAGACUACAGAGACAAUGUCCGACGUACAAGGAUCAUUUAGAAAACUCGAUGUCACGGAUUUUGCAUUGCUCAUAAAGAUUUAGACAUUAUUAUAAAGAGAUAAAUAUUGAAACACCUA